CACCAGAGAAAGAAACACUUAGAUAGAACUCCUAUGUGUGUGUGUGUGUGUGUGUGUGUCGGCCACACUGGAGCAGGAAAUAUUUUGAGUAUUUCAUAACAGAGUAGAGAAACAUCACUGGAGACCAGUGACAAACCAAGCAGCCUGUGUAUUGAUUGGUUUUGUUUGUUCCACUAUUUGAGGAAUAUUUUGUGAGGAGGAGAUGAGUCGGAGAGACAGGGAGGUGAAAAUUGGGACGAAGAUUUUGCAGUAAACAUCUGCAAACCUGAAUGACGGUCGGAGUCAACGACUAAGUAAUAAAACUGUUUGCCUGCUCCCAAGACGAUGUGACAAACACAGAUUCUAACUGUCACAAACAACAAUGGCAACUGCCGCAACCACAUCCUGCAUACGUACAGUUCAGUCACCGAUAAGUGCAGAGGUUUCCUGUGAAAACCCACUUAAAUAUAGAAGUGUUUUUUCAAACCAGCAAGAAAUGUGUUUUUAAGUGUUUGUCAUUUGUAUUUAGUUACAUAUUACACACAACCAAACGUACUUUAUUCAGUUUUUUUAAUCAAUAAAUAUAUUCAUCAGUUGUGAAGCAAAAAAUAUAGAAUGUGGAAAGUUUCUGUGAAAACUCCGUGUUAAGUGUUUAAUCAGAUUAUUCACAAAAUGUGUUUUAAAAGUGUUUGUCAACAAAUUACACACAAUUGAUUUUACUUUAUUUGCUAUUUCAUCUUUAAUAUAUUCAUCAAUGGUGAAGAAAAUAAAAUAACAUAAAUAAAUAAUUAAAUAAUAAAUAAAUGUAAUAACUCAAAAUAUAAAUAUAUAAAUAUAAAUAAAUAAAUAAUUUUAAAAAUAAUUAGAAACCAAGAGAGAAGUUUCUGAAUAAUAUGGCAGACUUAAAAAUUACAAAUGGAUCAUCACUAUAUUCAUCAUAUAAUUUUCAAGAAAACAAAAAUCCAUUAAAUUGAUUUUGAAAUAUACCCCCCCC
Molecule: long non-coding RNA, 973 nt
Organism: Gigantopelta aegis
Lineage: Eukaryota; Metazoa; Mollusca; Gastropoda; Neomphalida; Peltospiridae
Exons: 2
Source: RefSeq, a predicted model, not a curated record